CCUCCCGUCCCCCGACGCCUACGUUGGCGAGUACACCGCCGGCACAUUCCGUCCCCCGAUCGAGUCCGCGACGCCACUCCCGCCUCCUCCUCUGAUGCAGAAACCCGGCUGCCCACCACCUCCCCCCUCCUACUGGCCGGCUCCUCGGGUCCUCCUCCACGCUCUACUCAUCCUCAGCGGCGCCGGCGCCAGCUUCCCUGCCGACGCGCUCCACGGCCGUCCUCUUUGCGCACGCGCUGGUCCACACCCACGUCCUCCUUCAGUCGACCCCGUCUCAGAUACAACUGGUCUGGUGUGAUGGUUGACAUGGGGUACUAUGUCUCUGCUUCCCAACCCGUCCCGCCUCCCAAGUUCAAUUUUUCUGUCCUUACAGUUCAAAUCCGCGCGCCCAGUUCGAACUUUCCAGAAACCAGUCCUGCAGCCCAGUAUAAAUAAGUGGGCAGGCUUAUGGGACUCACGCUGCUCAAACUACACCUCCAAGAAGGCACACAACCUUCAGAUCGAACAGAUUGUGGGGAAGUGUGAUUCACUCCUCUUCGCUAUCUAAUCUUCAUCAAGGGCAAGCCAAGUUUAACUGAACUUGCUCCAGUGGCAUGCCAAGUGCUCAUACAAGUCUAUUUAUAUAUAUGUGAGCCAACAGAUAUGACAAGCUCAAGUCACUCGUCUUUGGAUGAUGAAGUGACAAAAAAAUCAUCUAUGAUUUUUCGUACUAAUGGCAUGCUCAUAUCAACGGAUGACUUGGUGCGAGGUGAAAGUUCAGAAGGGCGAAAGCGUGCACGUGAAGCCAUAAGAUAUGCUAGCCGUACACCAGAACAAAUCCAAGCAAGGCGAGAACGUGUUAGAGCACGUCGGCAAAAUUUAACACCUGUUGAGAAGGAAAAGAUUAAUGCACACAGAAGAGAGAAAAGACAAUGAAUGACACUUGAUGAGAGGAAUGCAAGCCAACGAGCGCGUAGGCAAAGUUUGACAUUAGAUGAGAGGCAAGAAAGAAAUCCACGCCGGCGAGCACGUAGGCAAAGCCUACCACCUGAAGAGCGGCAAGCACUCCUAGCUCAACGUAAUGCAAGCUACGCAUCUAAACGAGAUGCCCUCUGCAGGGAUUCUGUUGCACUAUGUUGCUCUUUCUAGAGCUACAUCUAGAAGUAAUAUGAAGAUUCUUACCAUCCCAGAUAAGCAAAAGGAAGGCCAGUCCUACUCCAUUGCAAAUUUUACAAAGAACAUAGUCUACAAAGAAGUUCUCAGCAUGUAGUACAAGAUGGAUGACGUGAGAGCCCCAGAGCUAAUAUUGUUGGCAUAAAUGUUUUGAUCAAACAACUAAAGAAGAGUAUAUAUGCUGAGAAAUGACUUCAUGGCCUGAUAGAUGCCUAAGGUAUGUAACUAAUUAAGUGGAACUAACUAUUUGAGUCAUGUCUGGAAUAUUUCCUCUCUUCAUGGUGGCGCGGUAUUACAGAUUCAUGUUUCUUGUACAUGUUUAGCAAAGCUUCAGUUAAACACUCCUUCAAAGUUAGAAGUACCUUAUUCUUGGUCAAUCCUUCCACUUUACCAAGCUAAUGAGGGUGAUCAAGCACUUAUUUUUUUACCUGUCCCAAGGGAUUUGAGGAAUGAUUUCGUGCUUUUGAUGAAUGUGGCUGCAAGCCUGCAACCAUAUUCCUACAGCCAGUGAUUCAAUAAUUGUCACAUUUUCCUUCCAAUUUUUAUAUUGCUCUUUCAUGUCCAGUUGCUGAAUACAUGCGCGGACUGAUUUUUGCCCACUGGAAACAGUACAUACUCUUAAAGAUUUUGUGGUGACCACAUGGUUGUUGCUCUUGGCUCCAUAUGCUUUUUGUUUAACUUGCUCAUAAAGUACAUAACUUUGAACAAUGCAAUGAAAUCAGUAGAAGCAUCACAUGAUAUGAUUGUUCAUGCUGGCAGCACAAAGCAUAUUGAAGGAAUAACCUAGCGGCGGCUGUACAAUACUGUCAUUGUAGUAGCAUUCCCUAUUUUUUAUAUUCCUAUGUUCCGAACACUCGAUAAAAUUAUGUCAAAAAUGACAAAAUUUUGUGAACUGGAGGGAGUAACUAUUAUCUUAUUCUCUGUUUUAAUGUUGUACUCAUGCAACUGAACUUCCAUACAUUUCAAAAUUAUCUUUAGAUGUUCAAGAAUGGGGCUGCUAAUCUGUGCUUAUGAGCAUCAGUAACUACUAUCUAAUGUUCACGUACAGUGUCGUUGAUGUCAGGGACCAAACCAAGUUCAUAAUCUGAGGUUGGGAGGCUAUUAAUGAAUGUCCAGUUUAAAUUUUAUAUGCAUAAGCAUGUGUGAUUUUAAACCAAAAGCAUUCUCUCUCUUUUGGAGAUCCCCUGCCUUUUGGAAGAUGUUUAGCUUUGAUUUCAACUUCCAGCCUUCUCUCUGUACUCACUGAUCCGCCUGGUAAGACCUACCUGUAAAUAAAAAUCUACUUGCAAUGCUUUAUAAUUAAAAUAUCUGCUGCUGCAGUUCUGCUGCAUAUAUUCUUCUUUAUAAUCAUUGUUGUUUCUUUCAGUGUAUUCUUUUUUAAGCAACUGGCAACCAUCAGGGCUAUCAAACACGUUAAGAAAUGUAACAGCAAGGUACGCACUCAGGUGGUGGCACCUGGUUGACUGGUCAUGAGUAAGGGCAAGUUGUCUGUUUCAGUUUAUGAGUCCAAUGAUGCAAUUUGAGAUAAGCUAGAGCAUAUUGAGACACUUGUGUGGCCAUACUUUUGCUUGAUAACCAACACCUGCAUUGUUUCUUUUUCUUGGAAAAAGUAAUAGAAUAUCUAUUAGUUUCAUUGAUAUAUGAGGCAAUGUUCCUUAUAAUUAAUAGGUAUAGGAGCUGGCGCUGAUAGGAGUGUCCACCUCCUAUAAGAUGACAAAGAUGGAGAGGAAGCAGGAGUGUUGGCGCAGGAGCAGCAGAUGUGGGCGCAGUGCUGGCAAGGCGGGAUGCAGAGGCAGCACGACCUCAAUGGGCUCGCCAUCAACGGCAGCGGAUGCCCAUGCCCAUGGCGCACCAUGCAGCCGGACACGAGCCGUGGCACUACAAAGGUGUUGUACUUGGGUUGAAUUGGUUGUUGGGCAUGUGUCCAUCCCAUGAUUCGUGCGUACAAAUCACUCAUGUACCGUAGUUAAUGUAUCAACAGUGGCCGAAUGAUUUUUUGUUGUGUGUAUUCCCACACAAUAGAUACAAUGGACUCCAAACCCGU
Molecule: long non-coding RNA, 3196 nt
Organism: Triticum dicoccoides
Lineage: Eukaryota; Viridiplantae; Streptophyta; Magnoliopsida; Poales; Poaceae
Exons: 5
Source: RefSeq, a predicted model, not a curated record